UCCACCUCCCACCCGUGUUUAUCGUACCUUGUUGCUUCGGCGGGCCCGCCUCACGGCCGCCGGGGGGCAUCCGCCCCCGGGCCCGCGCCCGCCGAAGACACACAAACGAACUCUUGUCUGAAGAUUGCAGUCUGAGUACUUGACUAAAUCAGUUAAAACUUUCAACAACGGAUCUCUUGGUUCCGGCAUCGAUGAAGAACGCAGCGAAAUGCGAUAAGUAAUGUGAAUUGCAGAAUUCAGUGAAUCAUCGAGUCUUUGAACGCACAUUGCGCCCCCUGGUAUUCCGGGGGGCAUGCCUGUCCGAGCGUCAUUGCUGCCCUCAAGCACGGCUUGUGUGUUGGGCUCUCGCCCCCCGCUUCCGGGGGGCGGGCCCGAAAGGCAGCGGCGGCACCGCGUCCGGUCCUCGAGCGUAUGGGGCUUCGUCACCCGCUCUGUAGGCCCGGCCGGCGCCCGCCGGCGAACACCAUCAAUCUUAACCAGGUUGACCUCGGAUCAGGUAGGGAUACCCGCUGAACUUAAGCAUAUCAAUA
RNAcentral lists this ribosomal RNA (530 nucleotides) under fungal sp. B14. RNAcentral describes it as "eukaryotic LSU rRNA". The stretch from base 157 to 310 matches the Rfam family "5.8S ribosomal RNA". The record is from RNAcentral. Lineage: Eukaryota; Fungi.